GGAGUAAUACCCAAGUGGUGAAGGGGACUCCCUGCUAAGGAGUUAGUGGUGUAUGCCAGCGAGAGUUCAAAUCUCUCUUACUCCGCCA
This 88-nucleotide transfer RNA is filed under the name Bacilli bacterium. RNAcentral's name for it is "tRNA-Ser". It matches the Rfam family "tRNA". From Rfam's summary of the family: Transfer RNA (tRNA) molecules are approximately 80 nucleotides in length. Their secondary structure includes four short double-helical elements and three loops (D, anti-codon, and T loops). RNAcentral also lists the same sequence under 1 other name. Lineage: Bacteria; Bacillati; Bacillota; Bacilli. The record is from RNAcentral.